Molecule: long non-coding RNA, 3447 nt
Organism: Salvelinus fontinalis (brook trout)
Lineage: Eukaryota; Metazoa; Chordata; Actinopteri; Salmoniformes; Salmonidae
Exons: 2
Source: RefSeq, a predicted model, not a curated record
UAGAGAUAGGGUUAGGGUUGAUGUGAUGGUUAGAGAUAGGGUUAGGGUUGAUGUGAUGGUUAGAGAUAGGGUUAGGGUUGAUGUGAUGGUUAGAGAUAGGGUUAGGGUUGAUGUGAUGGUUAGAGAUAGGGCUAGGGUUGAUGUGAUGGUUAGAGAUAGGGCUAGGGUUGAUGUGAUGGUUAGAGAUAGGGUUAGGGUUGAUGUGAUGGUUAGAGAUAGGGUUAGGGUUGAUGUGAUGGUUAGAGAUAGGGUUAGGGUUGAUGUGUUGUCCACAUGGUCCUGUGGUGGGGUGGUGGGGUAGUCUACUGUUGUUGUCCUCAUGGUCCUGUGAUGGUGUAGUGUUCAGUCUAGUUGGAUAAUGUCAUUAUCUAUAAAGGUAAAGGUAAGAAGCCGAUUGUUUGUUUGUAGAGAAGCUUCAAGUCUGUUUCAUCACAAUGCUCUUAACAUCUUACCAGAAAUAGGCUGACAGAUUCUUCUGGAGCUGUGGUAUCAUCUCUGCCUCAUCUUCAAAAGGAGGGAGACCUUAGCCGUGAUUAUCAGUUUUGGCUCGAGGGCCACAUCGGGAUUUUGAAAUUCAACAGAGGGAUGCAUUUUUUGGGGGACCAAUUGUUUGUUAUAAUCAAUUUGCGGGGGCCUCCCGAGUGGCGCAGCGGUCUAAGGUACUGCAUCGCAGUGCUAGAAGCGUCAUUACGGACCCGGGUUCGAUCAUAGCUGGCCGUGACUAAAAGACCCAUGAGGCAGCGCACAAUUGGCCCAGUGUCGUCCGGGUUAGGAGAGGGAUUAGCUGGCCAAGAUUUCAUUGUCCCAUUGCGCUCUAGUGACUCCUGUGGCGGGCCGGGCGCAGUACACGCUGACACGGUCGCCAGGUGUACGGUGUUUCCUCCGACACAUUGGUGCAGCUGGUUUCCGGGUUAAGAAACAGUGCGGCUUGGCUGGGUCAAUGUUCAACUGCUUGGGCUCUUGUUCCUGUUAUUUGAAUAUUAUCUCAAAAGUAUUGUGGAGCUCCUGCACCUAAAUAUAAACAGUACUGGCAACCAAAAUGAGUACCGACACCUAUUUCAACCCAUGUCAAGCACUGGGUAUAUGUAAUAGCAAUUGUCUUCCUGGUGAGAAUAGGACAUCCGACCACAGGACACUGUCACAGCAUGCUUGUUUGUUUGAAGCUCUUUUAUUAUUGGUAAAGACAAACCAUUUAUUGGGAAAAUGGGAUAUAAUUGUGAAAAAUGGUAUCAAAUCAAAUUGUAUUUGUCACAUGUGCCAUAUACAACAGAUGUAGACUUUACUGUGAAAUGCUUACUGACGAGAGCCCUUUUCCCAACAACGCUGAAUUACAAAGUAAGAAUUGAACGGUCAAGAAAAUGCAAUUGAAUUCUGCAUCGUUCUAUUGUCUGUUUCUAGUAUCAAUGUUCCACCAAAGUCCAUGUCAGGUCAAUAUAAUAAUAUACAUACCCUGGUCUGGCUCUUGAUAUACCCUGGUCUGGCUCUUGAUAUACCCUGGUCUGGCUCUUGAGAUAACCUGGCCUGUGUGCCAGGCUCUUGAGAUAACCUGGCCUGUGUGCCAGGCUCUUGAGAUAACCUGGCCUGUGUGCCAGGCUCUUGAGAUAACCUGGCCUGUGUGCCAGGCUCUUGAGAUAACCUGGCCUGUGUGCCAGGCUCUUGAGAUAACCUGGCCUGUGUGCCAGGCUCUUGACAACUUCAUAUGGAAUUGCCUUUAAGCUUGAAAAUGACAUUGGAGUUGGCAAAAGCACAGAUCUGGGACCAGGCUAUAUUCAGCGCCUUCGGAAAAUAUUCAGACCCCUCGACUUUUUCCACAUGUUGUUACGUUACAGCCUUAUUCUAAAAUGUAUCAAAUUAAUAUGUACAUACAGUACCAGUCAAAAGUGUGUACACACCUACUCAUUCAAGGGUAUUUCUUUAUUUCGACGAUUUUCUACAUUAUAGAAUAAUAGUGAAGACAUUGGAAACUAUGAAAUAACACAUAUGGAAUCAUGUAGUAACGAAAAAACUGUUAAACAAAUGAAAAUAUAUUUUAGAUUUGAGAUUCUUCAAAGUAGCCACCCUUCGCCUUGAUGACAGUUUUGCACACUCUUGGCAUUCUCUCAACCAGCUUCAUGAGGUAGUCACCUGGAAUGCAUUUCAAUUAACAGGCGUGCCCUGUUGAAAGUUAAUUUGUGGAAUUUCUUUCCUUCUUAAUGCGUUUGAGACAAUCAGUUGUGUUGUGAAAAGGUAGGGGUGGUAUACAGAAGAUAGCCCUAUUUGGUAAAAGACCAAGUCCAUAUUAUGGCAAGAACAGCUCAAAUAAGAGAAAUGACAGCCCAUGAUUACUUUAAAACAUGAAAGUCAGUCAAUACGAAAAAUGUCAAGAACUUUGAAAGUUUCUUCAAGUGCAGUCGCAAAAACCAUCAAGCGCUAUGAUGAAACUGGCUCUCAUGAGGACCGCCACAGGAAAGGAAGACCCAGAGUUUCCUCUGCUGCAGAUAAUAGGCUCAUUACAGUUACCAGCCUCAGAAUGGAAAGGAAGACCCAGAGUUACCUCUGCUGCAGAGGAUACGUUCAUUGGAGUGUUAUUUUAGUUUUGAUGUCUUCACUAUUAUUCUACAAUGUAGAACAUUGUCAAAUGAAAAGAAAAACCCUUGAAUGAGUAGGUGUUCUAAAUCUUUUGACCGGUAGUGUAUAUGUCUUGGACAAGGCUAUAUAUAUAUAUGUCUGUAUCUUUUCUGUUGACAAUUUAUCAGUGUAUCAUAUUUUCUUUAUUUCUUGAUGUGCAAAACUGUUGGCUGAGCAGCAGUGCUUGACUUGGGCAGGUGCUUGACUUGGGCAGGAGCUCUGUUGGCUGAGAAGCAGUGCUUGACUUGGGCAGGAGCUCUGUUGGCUGAGAAGCAGUGCUUGACUUGGGCAGGAGCUCUGUUGACUUGGGCAGGUGCUUGACUUGGGCAGGAGCUCUGUUGACUGAGAAGCAGUGCUUGACUUGGGCAGGAGCUCUGUUGACUGAGAAGCAGUGCUUGACUUGGGCAGGAGCUCUGUUGACUUGGGCAGGUGCUUGACUUGGGCAGGAGCUCUGUUGACUGAGAAGCAGUGCUUGACUUGGGCAGGAGCUCACUGGAGCAGAGUACCAGCACCUCAAAUGUUCCUCUUAUAGAAUAUAAAAGUAUUGUGGAGCUCCUGCACCUGAAUAUAAACAGUACCGGCACCUAUUUCAGUCCAUGUCAAGCACUGCUGAGCAGUGUGGGAGGGGCUAACGCUGUUGGUUUUAUAUAGAGAAAAAUAGCUCUGGUCCAGGUUGUGGUUUGGUAAUGUUCUCAACGUCGCCCUGGACCAGAGCUAUAGAUAUUAACACGUCCAUUAUAGAUGUACAUAGUGUAUUUCUCUGCUUUGGUGUACAACAAUAUAAGCUGUUUUUCUUACUUUAUACGUUUGUACUUCUGUGAAAUAAAGAUUAUUAUUUUA